Molecule: ribosomal RNA, 403 nt
Filed under: uncultured bacterium
Lineage: Bacteria
Description: partial 16S ribosomal RNA
Rfam family: Bacterial small subunit ribosomal RNA
Source: RNAcentral
AUUGAACGCUGGCGGCAGGCCUAACACAUGCAAGUCGAGCGAGCGGCGGACGGGUGUGUAAUGUAUGGGGACUGCCCGAUAGAGGGGGAUAACUACUGGAAACGGUGGCUAAUACCGCAUACUAUCGGAUAACCCAUAUGGGUUGAGCUAGUAGGUGGGGUAAAAGCUCACCUGGGCCACGAUCUCUAGCUGGUCUGAGAGGAUGAUCAGCCACACUGGGACGGAGACACGGCCCAGACUCCUACGGAGGCAGCAGUGGGGAAUAUUGCACAAUGGGGGCAAGCCGGAUGCAGCCAUGCCGCGUGUUUGAAGAAGGCCUUAGGGUUGUAAAGUACUUUCAGCAGGGAGGCGUUACCCGCAGAAGAAGCACCGGCUAACUCCGUGCCAGCAGCCGCGGUAAUUC